RNAcentral lists this transfer RNA (87 nucleotides) under Gammaproteobacteria bacterium. RNAcentral's name for it is "tRNA-Leu". It matches the Rfam family "tRNA". From Rfam's summary of the family: Transfer RNA (tRNA) molecules are approximately 80 nucleotides in length. The record is from RNAcentral. RNAcentral also lists the same sequence under 1 other name. Lineage: Bacteria; Pseudomonadati; Pseudomonadota; Gammaproteobacteria.
GCCUGGGUGGUGAAAUUGGUAGACACAAGGGACUUAAAAUCCCUCGGGGGCAACCCUGUGCCGGUUCGAGUCCGGCCCUAGGCACCA